RNAcentral lists this ribosomal RNA (496 nucleotides) under uncultured bacterium. RNAcentral describes it as "partial 16S ribosomal RNA". It matches the Rfam family "Bacterial small subunit ribosomal RNA", at positions 28 to 506 of the family's 1533-position model. The record is from RNAcentral.
GAUGAACGCUGGCGGCGUGCCUAAUACAUGCAAGUCGAGCGAACAGACGAGGAGCUUGCUCCUCUGACGUUAGCGGCGGACGGGUGAGUAACACGUGGAUAACCUACCUAUAAGACUGGGAUACCUUCGGGAAACCGGAGCUAAUACCGCAUAAUCUAUUGAACCGCAUGGUUCAAUAGUGAAAGACGGUUUUGCUGUCACUUAUAGUUGGACCCCCGCCGCAUUAGCUAGUUGGUAAGUUAACGGCUUACCAAGGCAAGGCUUCGAAACCAACCUGGGGGGGUGAUCGCCCCCUUGGGACUGGGGAACGGGUCCAGACCCCUAGGGGAGGCAGCAGUGGGGAAUCUUCCGCAAGGGGCGAAAGCCUGUCGGAGAAACGCCGCGUGGGGGAGGAAGUUCUCCGGUCCGUAAAACCCUGUUAUAGGGGAAGAAGAAAUGGGUAAUUAACGAUGACCGUCUGGAGGGUACUAAACCAAAAGGCCCCGGCAACCUCCUU